UACGUAGGGUGCAAGCGUUAAUCGGAAUUACUGGGCGUAAAGCGUGCGCAGGCGGCUUUGCAAGACAGAUGUGAAAUCCCCGGGCUUAACCUGGGAACUGCAUUUGUGACUGCAUGGCUGGGGUGCGGCAGAGGGGGAUGGAAUUCCGCGUGUGAGCAGUGAAAUGCGUAGAUAUGCGGAGGAACACCGAUGGCGAAGGCAAUCCCCUGGGCCUGCACUGACGCUCAUGCACGAAAGCGUGGGGAGCAAACAGG
RNAcentral lists this ribosomal RNA (254 nucleotides) under uncultured bacterium. RNAcentral's name for it is "partial 16S ribosomal RNA". It matches the Rfam family "Bacterial small subunit ribosomal RNA", at positions 524 to 776 of the family's 1533-position model. The record is from RNAcentral.